This is a long non-coding RNA of Odontomachus brunneus, 1894 nucleotides long. RefSeq lists it as uncharacterized. The record is from RefSeq and is a predicted model, not a curated record. The transcript has 2 exons. NCBI's taxonomy places the organism in Eukaryota, Metazoa, Arthropoda, Insecta, Hymenoptera, Formicidae.
CAGAAAGUCGCGUCCGCGCCUAGUUCUUGGUUCAAUGCCGGGUAGGUCUUCGUCACCAGGAAUACCAGAAACCAAUUCAGCAUCACGGCGAGACCGGAAGCGAUCGCUUUAGUCUCUGCGGUGAACAGUUCGCCCAUCAGCAUCCAAGCCUACCCAACGGAGAAGACGAUCAUGUAUAAUGUCAGAGAUGUGAGCGGCAGCCAGCCGAGUGUACUGAUGUCGCCGCCGUCAUCCUUAAUCUUGAAGUACAGACCGAGAGCCACGAGACUGACUGACAUAACUCCUGAGGAGAGGAUUAGCAGCGGCUUCCGGCCUGCGCGAUCCACAAUCACAGCUGCUACGGCUGACAUCACCGUCUGUCAACAGUGAUACUUCGAAUAAAUAUCAUUGUCUAACGCUGUCGUUAAUAAUCACAUGAGAUGAACACAGACACGCGAAUAUAUAGAAUGUGAACGAAGAAUAUCACAUGGUUAUACUGCGAGCAUAAAAUCCGAGAGCAACAAAUUGAAAAUUUCUGAGAAGGCAAUAAAUAAAGAGAAUUUGAAAGAUUUUAUAUAAUCUAGAAAAAAAGAUUCUAUAUAAAAAUUCUAUAAAAAUAAUAUGUUAAUAAAUUUAUACCAAUUCUUGAAGCAAGGCGAAAGAUAUAAAGUUUAACUUUUGCUCAAAGGAAUAUUCGUUUGAAUACUGAAAAUUGUAUUUUAGGGAAAAGUUUUGUAAUAAUUUGUAUAAUUUCCUUCUUAAAGUGGCACACCGUCAUCGUUUUCGUCGAUAAACACACCUGGACUAACGCGACAAUUAUAGAAGCGACGUCCGCCGGUAUCGAACUUCCAGAUUCUUCGAAAAUGGUGGUGGUGUAGAAGAUUACUGCGUUUAUACCGGACAUCUGUUGAAAGAACAUGCAACCUAAUGUGGCAAGCAUGGCUCUUCUGGUCGCAGGAGAACGUAUGAGAUCAAAUACGCUCGAAUUUUUCGAUGUCAUUGCUUCCAUUGCUCGCCGCAUUUCCGCGAGCUCUUCAGAUGGAUCGUAGAUGUUACCUCGGAGAAUCGCCAAUGCCGAUUUAGCUUCUGACUCCCGCUUUACAUUCUGUAAAAUUUAAAGACAUUCAUUUAUAAGUAAAAAAGAUUAAGAUCAAUUUUCCUUAGUAAUAAUACAACGAUAUAAGAACAAAGUCGUCUUCAAAUUGUUCAAAGAAUCUGCUAAAAAUAAUGUUGUAAAAUCCUGUACUUUAUUAAAAUUUAUUGACUGAACGUACCACCAGCCAAACAGGCGACUCCGGCAUCCACACAAAGGAAGCUAAGAAGAUGAGCUCUACGAGGGCGCAAACUAUAGCGAAUUCUGUGUAGUUCAUCACGGAUCCCAAUAUGAAAGCUAGCAGGAUACCAACAGUGAGAAACACUUGGAACAAAGCGCAGAGAGUGCCACGUGCCGACGUCUCCGCGAUCUCAGACACGUAUAUCGGCAUGAGAACGCAGGCUGCCCCGACUCCAAUGCCUAUCAAAAAUCUGGCCGCCAUAAUCAGCCACAGCCGGGAAGCGAGUAUGAUGAUCGCCCAGGACAGAAGAAAUGGAGCCGACAGCAGGAGAAGCGAUUUCUUUCGACCUAGUUUGUCUGCCAUCGGUCCGGAUGGAAGGGCGCCCGCGAUCGCACCUAAUGCCAGUAACGAGCCCACCCAGGACCCUUGCUCCGGGGUGAUGAUUAACCAAGAGUCUGCUUGAUAUAACUUGGGUAGUACGGGGGACGUCCAAGCCAUAGCGGUGCCAAUGCCGACGGCCAUUAUGCAGACUAAGAAGAUUUAAACGAGAAGUUAAUUAAAGGGCGCAGUUAAUUAGAAGGAAGACUCACCCUAUGAGAAACUUCAUUACGCUCGCUAUUGCGGCGGUAAUUAAUAAAAAA